Molecule: ribosomal RNA, 228 nt
Filed under: uncultured bacterium
Lineage: Bacteria
Description: partial 16S ribosomal RNA
Rfam family: Bacterial small subunit ribosomal RNA
Source: RNAcentral
GAUCAUGGCUCAGGACGAACGCUGGCGGCGUGCUUAACACAUGCAAGUCGAACGAGAAUCUGUGGAUCGAGGAUUCGUCCAAGUGAAGCAGAGGACAGUGGCGGACGGGUGAGUAACGCGUGAGGAACCUGCCUUUCAGAGGGGGACGAACAGUUGGAAACGACUGCUAAUACCGCAUGAUACAUUUGGGUGGCAUCAUCUGAAUGUCAAAGAUUUAUCGCUGAAAAG